AUUGAACGCUGGCGGCAGGCCUAACACAUGCACGUCGCACGAGUGGCGGACGGGUGAGUAAUGUCUGGGAAACUGCCUGAUGGAGGGGACUACCUACUGGAAACGGUCGCUAAUACCGCAUACCCUCAGAUGUGCCCCGAUGGGCGGAGCUUGUUGGUGGGUGACCGGCGCACCAAGGCGACGAUCCCUAGCUGGUCUGAGAGGAUGACCAGACACACUGGAACUGAUACACGGUCCAGACUCCUACGGGAGGCAGCAGUGGGGAAUAUUGCACAAUGGGCGCAAGCCGGAUGCAGCCAUGCCGCGUGUAUGAAGAAGGCCUUCGGGUUGUAAAGUACUUUCAGCGGUGAGGCGUUACCCGCAGAAGAAGCACCGGCUAACUCCGUGCCAGCAGCCGCGGUAAUAC
Molecule: ribosomal RNA, 406 nt
Filed under: uncultured bacterium
Lineage: Bacteria
Description: partial 16S ribosomal RNA
Rfam family: Bacterial small subunit ribosomal RNA
Source: RNAcentral